Molecule: ribosomal RNA, 228 nt
Filed under: uncultured bacterium
Lineage: Bacteria
Description: partial 16S ribosomal RNA
Rfam family: Bacterial small subunit ribosomal RNA
Source: RNAcentral
AUAGUGGGGGAGUAGCCUUUCGAAAGGAAGAAUUAAUACCGCAUAAGAUUGUAGUAUCGCAUGAUAUAGCAAUUAAAGGAAGCAAUCCGCUAUAAGAUGGACCCGCGUCGCAUUAGCUAGUUGGUGAGGUAAUGGCUCACCAAGGCGACGAUGCGUAGCCGACCUGAGAGGGGUGAUCGGCCACAUUGGGACUGAGACACGGCCCAGACUCCUACGGGAGGCAGCAUG